This 425-nucleotide ribosomal RNA is filed under the name uncultured bacterium. Its description in RNAcentral is "partial 16S ribosomal RNA". It matches the Rfam family "Bacterial small subunit ribosomal RNA", at positions 354 to 796 of the family's 1533-position model. The record is from RNAcentral.
GUGGGGAAUCUUGCGCAAUGGGCGAAAGCCUGACGCAGCCAUGCCGCGUGAAUGAUGAAGGUCUUAGGAUUGUAAAAUUCUUUCACCGGGGACGAUAAUGACGGUACCCGGAGAAGAAGCCCCGGCUAACUUCGUGCCAGCAGCCGCGGUAAUACGAAGGGGGCUAGCGUUGCUCGGAAUUACUGGGCGUAAAGGGCGCGUAGGCGGAUCGUUAAGUCAGGGGUGAAAUCCCAGAGCUCAACGCUGGAACUGCCCUUGAUACUGGCGAUCUUGAGUGUGAGAGAGGUAGGUGGAACUCCGAGUGUAGAGGUGAAAUUCGUAGAUAUUCGGAAGAACACCAGUGGCGAAGGCGACAUACUGGCUCAUUACUGACGCUGAGGCGCGAAAGCGUGGGGAGCAAACAGGAUUAGAUACCCCAGUAGUCC